This 222-nucleotide long non-coding RNA is filed under the name Panax ginseng (ginseng). Its description in RNAcentral is "long non-coding RNA (PGIN_LNC002672)". Lineage: Eukaryota; Viridiplantae; Streptophyta; Magnoliopsida; Apiales; Araliaceae. The record is from RNAcentral.
UCUUUACUGGGCUAGUUGAGCUCACCCUUUUUCCUUUUUGUUCCAUUUUUCUUCUCAGGAGGUGAGAACAUAGCAGGAUCGAGUCGGGGUAUGGAGUGAUGGUUCUAGGAAGAUGUUUUAGCUGUCUACACUAUUUCUGUAAAAUAAUGUAUGAAUAAUUAUAAUGAGGACUUAUUUGGGUGUGUAUUUUGUCUAGAAGACAAUAUUUGUAUUUAAACUCAC